GACGAACGCUGGCGGCGUGCUUAACACAUGCAAGUCGAACGGAAAGGCCCUGCUUUUGUGGGGUGCUCGAGUGGCGAACGGGUGAGUAACACGUGAGUAACCUGCCCUUGACUUUGGGAUAACUUCAGGAAACUGGGGCUAAUACCGGAUAGGAGCUCCUGCUGCAUGGUGGGGGUUGGAAAGUUUCGGCGGUUGGGGAUGGACUCGCGGCUUAUCAGCUUGUUGGUGGGGUAGUGGCUUACCAAGGCUUUGACGGGUAGCCGGCCUGAGAGGGUGACCGGCCACAAUGGGACUGAGAAACGGCCCAGACUCCGACGGGGGGCAGGAGUGGGGAAUAUUGCACAAUGGGCGGAAGCCUGAUGCAGCAACGCCGCGUGCGGGAUGACGGCCUUCGGGUUGUAAACCGCUUUCGCCUGUGACGAAGCGUGAGUGACGGUAAUGGGUAAAGAAGCACCGGCUAACUACGUG
Molecule: ribosomal RNA, 468 nt
Filed under: uncultured bacterium
Lineage: Bacteria
Description: partial 16S ribosomal RNA
Rfam family: Bacterial small subunit ribosomal RNA
Source: RNAcentral